Molecule: ribosomal RNA, 467 nt
Filed under: uncultured bacterium
Lineage: Bacteria
Description: partial 16S ribosomal RNA
Rfam family: Bacterial small subunit ribosomal RNA
Source: RNAcentral
GACGAACGCUGGCGGCGUGCUUAACACAUGCAAGUCGAACGGAAAGGCCCUGCUUUUGUGGGGUGCUCGAGUGGCGAACGGGUGAGUAACACGUGAGUAACCUGCCCUUGACUUUGGGAUAACUUCAGGAAACUGGGGCUAAUACCGGAUAGGAGCUCCUGCUGCAUGGUGGGGGUUGGAAAGUUUCGGCGGUUGGGGAUGGACUCGCGGCUUAUCAGCUUGUUGGUGGGGUAGUGGCUUACCAAGGCUUUGACGGGUAGCCGGCCUGAGAGGGUGACCGGCCACAUUGGGACUGAGAUACGGCCCAGACUCCUACGGGAGGCAGCAGUGGGGAAUAUGGCACAAGGGGCGGAAGCCUGAUGCAGCAACGCCGCGUGCGGGUGACGGCCUUCGGGUUGUAAACCGCUUUCGCCUGUGACGAAGCGUGAGUGACGGUAAUGGGUAAAGAAGCACCGGCUAACUACGUG